CAUGAGGGAAAUGGAAAGGUAAACGUUGGCCAAGAUCGAGUGGAUGCCAGAGGUGAAUUUUACCCUUUACAUUUGGACCUAUUCUGAUCAACAAGGGUUGGAGAAUUUUUUGAGGUUGGUGUUGGAUUGGGAUUGGGAUUGUGGUUGGUUUGAUGAGAAAGAUGUUGUGUUUUAAGAGGCAACACAUGGAAUCGUUGUUGAUGCCGAAGGGUUUUGGAAGCUUCAAUGGUAAGAAGUGGUUGGGACGGAAGUUAGGGAUGGAAGAGCGCCAUGUGGAACAGACAGAACGAAAGCGAAGAAGAUAGAAUUCGCUGUUCAGUUUUUCGGAUAUUAAUUGAAGAAGUUCUGUUGGAAGAAGAGACCAGUCAGGCUUAGCCAUGGAUGGUGCUGCUUCGGUUUGGGCAAGGAAUGUUGUAGCUUUAGGGUUUUUGUGUGGUCCAAUGUUCAAUGUCAAUGACUUAUUUAUAAGCAAAACUAUGUUAUUUGGCUCGACUUUUUUAGGUGUUACAAGCUAUCUGAAAGUUAAAAGUGAAAAAAAAGUUAUUUUAAAGUUAAAAGUUGUUUGGUAAAAUAUAAGUAUGAAUUUUCCAAAUUGAAAAAGAAAAUUAUUUUUUUAUAAUUAAGAGUUUUAUUAAAAAAGUGUUUGGCCAACUUCUCAUUUUAAAGAGAAUAAAAAGCUAAAAAAAGUCAGGUCAAACAAGCUCUAAAAAAGAAAAAUGAUGUACAUGUGAACUUAUCUCAAUUGGUAGGGAUAUCACACUAUAUGUGUAGGUGCCCGGAUUCAAAAACCCUGGACACUCCACUUAUUUACAUAUGAGUGAAUUUUUUAGCCACCAAACUACUUGAAAAAAAAACUAGUAUAUCUACUUAAAAGCCUCGAGAGUCGAGACACUAGUUAAAUGACCUUUAAAAAAAUUAGGCUUAACUAUACAUUUGGUCCCUUACGUUUAUUUUAGGUUUCAAUUUGGUCAUUUACGUUUAAAAAAUAUUAAUUUGGUCUCUUGCGUUUAUUUUAGGUUUCAAGUUAGUCCUUUCCAUCAGUUUUUGGACACUCCACUUAUUUACAUAUGUGUGGAUUUUCUAGCGACCACAAUACUUUGAAGAAAAAAAAAUCUAGUAUAUCUACUUAAAUUCCUAUCUACUUAAAAGCCUCGGGACACUAGUUAAAUGACCCUUAAAAAAAUUAUUAUUUUCACUAAAUUAUCCAUUAUAAAGUUACUUUUGGUAAAUGGGCCAAAUUUUUGCAUUGGCUUUUGAUUAUUUUUAAGUUUUUAAGUUUAUAAUAUAUUGAUUUUUUAGUUUUUAAGUUUUAAAUUAAUCAUUUAAUUUUGUUAAAUUAACCAUUAAACUAUUAAUAAUCAUUCUUACAAAAAUUGAAUUAUAAGCAAAAAUUGAAUUAUAAGGAGUAUAAAGUAUACUCAAUCCUUACAAUUCUUAGAGGACCAUUACAUGCUAAUAAUGCAUUUUAAUGGAUUCUUACUAGUUAUUUUAACUAUAAACCAAAACCAUGAAAUAUAAAUAAUCUUGUCUUCUAUGGCUUUCCAAUCAAUAGCUUAUCCUCUAAAGACCACAUUGUUACGCGCACACCAUAUACACAAAAUGGUUGCCAACCAAAUAACAUGACAAACUUUUUCAUAUUUCUUAUUUUUCAAUAAGGCGCCAAAAGAGGAAAAAUGUUUUCAUCCAUCGCCAAAAGAGAUGAAAUCCACAUUCAUCCAUCAAAAGAGAAUAUUGAUAUACUCUUCCAACAAAUAUUUUUUCAUAUCCAUUGGCCGAGGAUCAAAGUUAGGACCAAAUAGGUAAGGGGUCCCAUUACCAAAGAAAAAAACAGUUAAGGGGUCUAAGAAUCUACCCCUUGUGUCACACUAUGUUGGUUACUCCUUUAAUUUUAGCCAAAAUGUAUUGUGUUUUAAGUUUAACAUUUGUAUAAUUGUAAUAGAUGCAACAUAUUGAUCCCCAAAAACAAAACCCUAUCUCCUAAGUUUGAUAACUUCACCCACUUUUUCUUCUCAUCAAGCCUAUACACAUAAAUCCGUGGACCAAGAUCACAAUCACAAUCACAAUCAGAAUCACAAUGUGAGGUUGUUGUUCCCCCAGAUACGUGCCAAAUCCUAAUGUCCUCUUUUGUGUUUUAAGUUUAACAUUUGUAAUAGAUGGAUCUUUGUAACAGAUUAGACAGUUAUCCUUUUUAAUGAUUAUUCAUUAUACAAAUGUUCAUAUAGCUGUUUACUGAGUGGCUUAACAUUGUAUGAGUAUUUUUUACUAGAGAUUGUCCGGUGAUCAUCUCAAUUGUAAGUAAAAUUAAGGGUUGAAAUUGCACGGGAGAUAAACUGCACAAGAGAGGAUAACCUCUCCUUAUUAUGGAGGGAAUCUCCUUUGUGGCAAUUGGCAAGCAACAACGUGCUAUGUUUCAGCCUCCCUUUUAUCACCAGUUUAAUGGUAAUUGAGAACUUUUCGGGCAGUAUUAGGAGAUAAAAUCGAAUCAGCACCAUGAUUGGCAGUCUACCAACACUGCCAUUUUUCGUAUAUGCAACAAUAGUAAAACCAGGCCAACCAUGAUCAGAUGAUGAAUAAAUUUGCGCAUGAUAUGCAAUUGGAUCCUAUGCGGCAAUACCCUCUUGGCCGAGGAUAAUUUGGGCAUUUCUCGAUGGCCCGUGUGUUUCCCUUCUCGUGUUUGAUUGUAGUUAUUCCUAUGUUUGAACAUUUUUUAUUUUUAGAACAUGCUAAUUGUUGAACUUGCCUUAGCUUGCCUUAAUUGAAGUCCAUGUGAAUUGAUCGUUGCAAUCAGUGAAAUACGACAGGAAAAAAUAUUAAUUUCUUGUAUUUGUAGAAUCAUUACUGUAAAAUUGAGGUUGAUGUUACUAUAAGAGAUUGUUACUUUACUACAAAAUUUUCAUUUGGCAAAUGUGAUUUUUGAGGAUAAGUAACAAUUUAAAAGUUAAGAGUUUGUGAUGAAUUCCGGUCAUAAAAGUGAUUUUAGGUUUCUUUAGAUCAAUUUUAGCUAGAACUUAUUUAGUUUUACUAAGUUUUAGAUUUACAAAGAUUUUGAGCAGCUUAUCCAUAAUAUUUUUCAAAUUACAUUGUGGGGGAAGCCCAUUCUUCUCUUAGCCAAGGAUGCUUUUUCUUAGCACUGCAAUAAGGUAACCUUGUCGAAUUAAACUGAGCCCUCAUGAGGUAUGUUUAACCCAGAAACUGUCAAAAAAGGAGUACUGCGAUAAGGUAAGCUUAUCGAAUUAAACUGAGCCCUCAUGAGGCAUGUUUAACCUAGAAACUGUCAAAAAAGGAGUACCGCGAUAAGGUAAGCUUAUCAAAUUAAACUGAGCCCUCAUGAGGUAUGUUUAAUCCAUAAACUGUAAAAAAAGGAGUACCGCAAUAAGGUAAGCUUAUCGAACUAAACUGAGCCCUCAUGAGGUAUGUUACCAGAAAUUUGCCUACUUGUAUAAUGAAGUGUUUUUUUGGUAUAAAAUGACUAUUGGCUCUUCUUUCAGUAAAAUUUUGAAAAAUUGAAAACAACAAUGUAUGGACCAUUUUCACUAACGUAUCUAGAGAUGGAAAUUUUUUGAGGUUGUUUCUAACUAAUAGUAAUAACAUAACAAUGAACAAAAGACAGAAACAAUACAUACUAACAUAGCCAUGGAAUAGAAAGGAAAGCCAACUUUGUUUUUUCAUUACUAAAUAUUAUCAGAUUCAGCAGAAAAAUGACAGAAAUAGUGAGAAAUUCAAUAACAAAACCCAAAUAUUUUCAAAAUCCAAAACCCAAAUAUUACUUCCAUUUUUUCAUCUUCUUCCUCAAGUCCUUCAUUACUUCCCUUCAUCAAAACUCUUUACUUUUCUUCCUCUUCACUUUCUUCUUGUUCUUCACUUUCUCCAUCUUCUUCCUCUUCACUUUCUUCAUCUUCAUCUUACUUUCUUCAUCUUCAUCAAAUCUUCAUAACAAAAAAAUCCAGAAAAUUAAAAAUCAAAACCCAAAUAUUUUCAAAAUCCAAAACCCAGAAGCAAUGAGUCAAAGCUGCACCUUUGAUAUAUUUCUCAACAAUCUACACAAAACAUAAACAAACCCAUAAAAUUCUGUUCAUGAAUAAAAAGUUUUUUUGGAUGUUUACCAUAAACAAACCCAUAAAAUUCUUCAAGGUAGUAAUAAAGGAUGAGCUAUCAUAACUCAUUCUUCUAAGUGAACAAGAAACAAAGAGGACAGAUCAAGUCAUAUUGUAAGUUACUCAGAAUUUAAUUUUUCACAAUGUCAGUUCUAAUAAAACAAUAAAAAAAAACCAAGACUUUGCACUUUGCCGUCAUAGUUACGGAACAUGCACUUGAAGACAACAAAUGGUAAAAAUAGGAUUCUAAACAGCAUGAGAGGUUUGAUUUUGUUACAAAAAUCAUCUCUCUAAAGGACAUUGUAGGUUUUGUAAACAAUGGAGUAGAGCAUCAAAACUCAUAACCGCCCUUUUAAAGUAGGGCAAUCAUAGAGCAGUAACACAGUUUUAAGUCAUUCAUUUAAUAGAAUCAAACAAACAUAACUCUUAUUAGACUAAGAAGGUUUUCUGCCUCUAAAAAUUAAAUAUAUUGAGAUUUAGGACUUUGUUGGUAAGUUUAUAGUCUGCAAAAGUAACAAUAAAAGAAGAUAAUCAAACCCAUCAAAAUUGUUACAUCUAGGUUUUGUGGUUCUUUUACUUGUAGUAUGUUAUUAAAAGACAUGAAUGCUUCUAUCCCAGCUAUAUUUAUUUUGAAAUUUACUGGUACUAUUGACUGAAAUAUGUUACCAAAAACAAUAAUAUUUAGUUCAAAAUUUUUCCAUUUUUGCCUAUUAAGCAACAGCUACCUCUACCUCUUCUUAAUACCAUUGCCACAACUACCUCUGAUCCAAACCUUUCCCUCAAAAUCAGAGCAUCUGAUCAAAAUCCCAUUUAGAGAAUCCUCAUACAAACUCGAUGGUUCUACCUCUUCUUAUUACAAGUUCUCUUAUGUAACACUUGCACCAGUAAAGUUAAGCAUGACUAUUUCUUAUUCAAACUCACACUUUUGCCUUUAUUCUAGUUAACAAAUUUUGUACUUCAUAAGUAUCUAGGUUUGACUAAAUAAGAAUGGUGGAAUUAUUCAUUUUAUUUACAAGUUUAUUCUUUAGAAAUGUAGUUUUUUUUUUUCUAAUUCAAAUUUUCUCCCUGAAGAGAAUGUGAUUUUCUGACCUCUUAUUCUCCUUAAGUUGUUGGACUUACUUGUAAAUGACACAAAACAUGACUGAAUUCAUAUCAUCUUAUUAUCAUAGUGAGAAAACUAAAUAGUCCAAACGUCAGAUCAUAUUGAUAUUUCUAAUUCGUUUUCUACAUUAUAUAUGUACUAUCAAUCACAAUUACAUUAGAAACAUUCAAUGCUAGAUAACUUACUCUUUUUCCAAAUGCAGCUCGUCACGAUCCACAAUCCAGAAGCCACAAGUAAGUUGAAAUAAUCGGGAUAAUCAGACAAAGGCAACAUCUCAUUUUCAUCCAAGUUGAAAUCACAAAUUCCACAACCGAGGUCACUCACAUCCAUAUUGAUCACACAAUUCCCUUUGGCAAAACCCAAAUCGGAAGCAGAAGCAGAAAAUGAACAUUUUUUCCCCAAGAACAAAACCCUAUCUCCUAAAUUUGACAACUCCACCCACUUUUUCUUCUUCUCAUCAAGCCUAUACACAUCAAUCGAUGCAUCAUAAUCACAAGAAGACGUAUCCACUAACAACAACUCACUCUCAACCACACAUAAUCUACUCUGGCCAACACACAAUAGCUCAGCUGCCACCAAAUCAACGCUUAACUCCGGUCCAACCAUAAAAGUUUCAGCCCUAUCCUCUANNNNNNNNNNNNNNNNNNNNNNNNNNNNNNNNNNNNNNNNNNNNNNNNNNNNNNNNNNNNNNNNNNNNNNNNNNNNNNNNNNNNNNNNNNNNNNNNNNNNNNNNNNNNNNNNNNNNNNNNNNNNNNNNNNNNNNNNNNNNNNNNNNNNNNNNNNNNNNNNNNNNNNNNNNNNNNNNNNNNNNNNNAACAAGGGUUGGAGAAUUUUUUGAGGUUUGUGUUGGAUUGGGAUUGGGAUUGUGGUUGGUUUGAUGAGAAAAAUGUUGUGUUUUACGAGGCAACACAUGGAAUCGUUGUUGAUGCCGAAGGGUUUUGGAAGCUUCAAGCGUAAGUGGUGGUUGGGAGGGUGGUUAGGGAUGGAAGAGCGCCACGUGGAACAGACAGAACGAAAGCGAAGAAGAUAGAAUUCACUGUUCAGUUUUUUGGAUAUGAGUUGAAGAAAUUCCGUUGGAAGCUGAGACCAGUCACGCUCAGCCAUGGAUGAUGUUGCUUUGGUUUGGGCAAAUGCAAAACAGGAAGAAGAAGACCGUUCGUCAAUACAGCGGCAAGGAAAUGUUGUAGCUGUAGGGUUUUUGUGUGCUCCAAUGUUCUUCAAACACAGUAACAAAUGUACCAAGGGCACAUAUUCAUUUUGAAUUUAAUAUACAUACAAAUUUA
Molecule: long non-coding RNA, 6479 nt
Filed under: Trifolium pratense (red clover)
Lineage: Eukaryota; Viridiplantae; Streptophyta; Magnoliopsida; Fabales; Fabaceae
Description: long non-coding RNA (TPRA_LNC001746)
Source: RNAcentral